CAGUUCCGUUCCUGCUCUGCUUGAGGAGAAGCGCCAAGUGCGCAUGGGGACGCUAUAGCAAUUCGUUUGCUGUCCUUCCUCUCCUUCGAAGAUGACAAGGCCUACCAUCGUUUCUUCCUGCCUUUGGGCCGUCAGGCAGUUGGUUGGGACCCGCUCCAACCCUCGGUUCUUCCUGCAAUACAGUGGAUACAAUUUGUCAUGGCUACUCUGAGUGUUAUAGGUUCAAGUUCACUUAUUGCCUAUGCUGUAUUCCAGAAUAUACAGAAAUCUCCAGAGAUAAGACCACUUUUUUAUCUGAGCUUCUGUGACCUGCUCCUGGGACUUUGCUGGCUCACGGAGACACUUCUCUAUGGAGCUUCAGUAGCAAAUAAGGACAUCAUCUGCUAUAACCUACAAGCAGUUGGACAGGUGAUAGAUUAUACUUGUCGAGUUGGUCAAAUGGCCUUUGUUUUCUCAAGGUAAAAUUUUUUCUUUACUUCUUAGCGAGGUGUAGACUCUCAUUAUUCUGGUGUUCAGGUGGGAACAAAUAGGACAGUGCCCUUUAUUUCCAUUGUCAGUCCUAAGUCCUCACA
Molecule: small RNA, 572 nt
Filed under: Pan troglodytes (chimpanzee)
Lineage: Eukaryota; Metazoa; Chordata; Mammalia; Primates; Hominidae
Description: retained intron
Source: RNAcentral